RNAcentral lists this ribosomal RNA (359 nucleotides) under uncultured bacterium. Its description in RNAcentral is "bacterial SSU rRNA". It matches the Rfam family "Bacterial small subunit ribosomal RNA", at positions 29 to 417 of the family's 1533-position model. The record is from RNAcentral.
AACGAACGCUGGCGGCAGGCCUAAUACAUGCAAGUCGAACGCACCGCAAGGUGAGUGGCAGACGGGUGAGUAACGCGUGGGAACCUUCCUAGUAGUACGGAAUAACUCCGGGAAACCGGUGCUAAUACCGUAUAAGCCCUCCGGGGGAAAGAUUUAUCGCUACUAGAUGGGCCCGCGUCGGAUUAGCUUGUUGGUGAGGUAAUGGCUCACCAAGGCUUCGAUCCGUAGCUGGUCUGAGAGGAUGAUCAGCCACACUGGGACUGAGACACGGCCCAGACUCCUACGGGAGGCAGCAGUGGGGAAUCUUGCGCAAUGGGCGAAAGCCUGACGCAGCGACGCCGCGUGAGGGAUGACGGCCU